RNAcentral lists this transfer RNA (72 nucleotides) under Camelus bactrianus (Bactrian camel). It matches the Rfam family "tRNA". From Rfam's summary of the family: Transfer RNA (tRNA) molecules are approximately 80 nucleotides in length. Their secondary structure includes four short double-helical elements and three loops (D, anti-codon, and T loops). RNAcentral also lists the same sequence under 2 other names. The record is from Rfam by way of RNAcentral. Lineage: Eukaryota; Metazoa; Chordata; Mammalia; Artiodactyla; Camelidae.
GCAGGAAUAGCUCAGGGGUAGAGCAUGUUCUUGGCAUGCACAAGGUCCUGGGUUCAAUUCCCAGUGCCUCUG